CCCUUAGAUGUUCUGGGCCGCACGCGCGCUACACUGACGAUGGCAACGAGUUUUUCCUUCGCCGAAAGGUGUGGGUAAUCUUUUGAAACAUUGUCGUGCUGGGGAUAGAUCAUUGCAAUUUUUGAUCUUGAACGAGGAAUUCCUAGUAAGCGCGAGUCAUCAGCUCGCGUUGAUUACGUCCCUGCCCUUUGUACACACCGCCCGUCGCUACUACCGAUUGAAUGGUUUAGUGAGGACUCCUGAUUGGCGCCGCCGCCCCGGCAACGGAGCAGCGGACUGCCGAAAAGUUGUUCAAACUUGAUCAUUUAGAGGAAGUAAAAGUCGUAACA
Molecule: ribosomal RNA, 329 nt
Filed under: uncultured eukaryote
Lineage: Eukaryota
Description: partial 18S ribosomal RNA
Rfam family: Eukaryotic small subunit ribosomal RNA
Source: RNAcentral